Molecule: ribosomal RNA, 1374 nt
Filed under: uncultured bacterium
Lineage: Bacteria
Description: bacterial SSU rRNA
Rfam family: Bacterial small subunit ribosomal RNA
Source: RNAcentral
GAUGAACGCUGGCGGCGUGCCUAAUACAUGCAAGUCGAGCGAACAGAUAAGGAGCUUGCUCCUUUGAAGUUAGCGGCGGACGGGUGAGUAACACGUGGGUAACCUACCUAUAAGACUGGGAUAACUUCGGGAAACCGGAGCUAAUACCGGAUAACAUUUAGAACCGCAUGGUUCUAAAGUGAAAGAUGGUUUUGCUAUCACUUAUAGAUGGACCCGCGCCGUAUUAGCUAGUUGGUAAGGUAACGGCUUACCAAGGCGACGAUACGUAGCCGACCUGAGAGGGUGAUCGGCCACACUGGAACUGAGACACGGUCCAGACUCCUACGGGAGGCAGCAGUAGGGAAUCUUCCGCAAUGGGCGAAAGCCUGACGGAGCAACGCCGCGUGAGUGAUGAAGGGUUUCGGCUCGUAAAACUCUGUUAUUAGGGAAGAACAAAUGUGUAAGUAACUGUGCACAUCUUGACGGUACCUAAUCAGAAAGCCACGGCUAACUACGUGCCAGCAGCCGCGGUAAUACGUAGGUGGCAAGCGUUAUCCGGAAUUAUUGGGCGUAAAGCGCGCGUAGGCGGUUUCUUAAGUCUGAUGUGAAAGCCCACGGCUCAACCGUGGAGGGUCAUUGGAAACUGGGAAACUUGAGUGCAGAAAGAGGAAAGUGGAAUUCCAUGUGUAGCGGUGAAAUGCGCAGAGAUAUGGAGGAACACCGGUGGCGAAGGCGACUUUCUGGUCUGUAACUGACGCUGAUGUGCGAAAGCGUGGGGAUCAAACAGGAUUAGAUACCCUGGUAGUCCACGCCGUAAACGAUGAGUGCUAAGUGUUAGGGGGGUUUCCGCCCCUUAGUGCUGCAGCUAACGCAUUAAGCACUCCGCCUGGGGAGUACGACCGCAAGGUUGAAACUCAAAGGAAUUGACGGGGACCCGCACAAGCGGUGGAGCAUGUGGUUUAAUUCGAAGCAACGCGAAGAACCUUACCAAAUCUUGACAUCCUUUGAAAACUCUAGAGAUAGAGCCUUCCCCUUCGGGGGACAAAGUGACAGGUGGUGCAUGGUUGUCGUCAGCUCGUGUCGUGAGAUGUUGGGUUAAGUCCCGCAACGAGCGCAACCCUUAAGCUUAGUUGCCAUCAUUAAGUUGGGCACUCUAGGUUGACUGCCGGUGACAAACCGGAGGAAGGUGGGGAUGACGUCAAAUCAUCAUGCCCCUUAUGAUUUGGGCUACACACGUGCUACAAUGGACAAUACAAAGGGCAGCUAAACCGCGAGGUCAUGCAAAUCCCAUAAAGUUGUUCUCAGUUCGGAUUGUAGUCUGCAACUCGACUACAUGAAGCUGGAAUCGCUAGUAAUCGUAGAUCAGCAUGCUACGGUGAAUACGUUCCCGGGUCU